Long non-coding RNA from Drosophila miranda, 1150 nucleotides. RefSeq lists it as uncharacterized. Lineage: Eukaryota; Metazoa; Arthropoda; Insecta; Diptera; Drosophilidae. The record is from RefSeq and is a predicted model, not a curated record. The transcript is spliced from 3 exons.
CUUGUUCGGCCAGCAGCUUUGGCUCGCUUUUGCUGGGAGAGUAAGAAGCUUGGAGCCGCCCACGCUGCUGCAUUCUAUCGCGGUUUUAUCAGUUUCUCCCGGUCUCUCAUUCAAAGUGAUCAAUUAAAUCGUCUGUUUUGGAAUGUGCACUCGCGCCGAAAUGCAGACGCACCUACACAUCCAUAAACACAUAUGCACUACAAGCUAGUUCGGCCCGUGACGAAAUUAAACACGGUGAGAGCGCUUUGUUUGAUGAGAGAGAGAAAACCGUAAAAUGUCACAAGAAAAGAGAGCGAACCACCUAGUCUAAUUUCAUUAUGGUUCGGCCGCAAACGUUUGCUCUCGUUCUUGCUGUGAGAUGGAGAGAGAUAAGCAGAGCAGAAACGAAGUCAGAUUUCGAAGCAGAGCUUGCACUCUUGCACUCUUGUCACAGUAUUCUCAGUUCCCCCUCCCCCUCAGUCGGUGAUUCAAAGCGUUUAAUUAAAUCGUGCGUCCAAAUGCAAGGUAACAAAGGCGGAAAGUGUGUAAAAGUGCGAAUGAAAAAAUUCACCGGUAGAACUAUGGUCUAGAACGUGCGGAAAUAUUAAGUGCAAUGCAUUACGGCAUACGAAACGGAACCAUAUGUGUAUUAUUUUUUUUCCUGUUAGAGUGAAUUCAGUCCACAAGGCGGCAUUUGGGCAAAAGCUGAGUGAAAGUGUUAAAGUGUAAUCAAAUGCGAGUGAGAAAAAGCGCAAUGACUAAAUAAACAGCAAGACUAUUGAUCGCAAUGGCAGCAAACCGAAAUUAAUGACACCAAAUGAGUGAAAAGAACAUUUAAAACAACAACAACGAAAUGCAAUAAAAGGAAACGGGAACAAUUAUGCAAAACUACAGCAUUAUGGUACGUUUGGUGAAUCGUCGAUUGAGUAAUAUAUUUAAUGGCAUUCCUUCUUUCUGUACCUGCGAGUACAUAUAUCAAGUAAAUAGGAUUAUCUAGUGGCUGCCUAGGAGGCUUACCAUCCUGCCAUUCUGCCAUCUGAAUUGAGAGAAAUGUCCAAAAUUCAAAACACUUUUGAUUUCUCAGCACCUUCACACAAAAGGCAGGCGGAAGGAAGACUAAUAAAGCCACGACUAUCAGAAAGUCAAAGAAAAAUGAAAAUGAAAAAGAAAA